Molecule: long non-coding RNA, 305 nt
Filed under: Panax ginseng (ginseng)
Lineage: Eukaryota; Viridiplantae; Streptophyta; Magnoliopsida; Apiales; Araliaceae
Description: long non-coding RNA (PGIN_LNC000135)
Source: RNAcentral
AAAAUCCUAACCAUGUCCACACAUUAUAGGUCAUAGAACGAACUUCAAAUAGCUUACUUCCAUAAAUAAUCAAUUAAAUUCAUUUAAUCCACAUAAUCAAAUAAAAAUUUAAUUCUCAUAGAAAUCCGAUUUUCUCAGGCGUUACAAAAAGUCUGCUGCUUCACUAUUCAAGUAUCCAGUCUUCUUUUGAGGUAAGGGGUAUUAUUUAUAUCAUCUCUGCUUACGAUAUUAUUUUUUGUAUUCGUAAGGAAUAUUAUCUUCGUUCAAUAUUCGUGGGAAUAUUAUUUUCGUUCCACAUUUGUAAG